GGGGUCGUUAGGGAUUCGACAAGCACUGUUUGAGCUUUAAUUGCGUUUUGAAGGUUACGUCUUCACUAAAACGUUACAGUUAAAUAUAGCUGUUGAAAAAGAAAACACUUUCGCUUUAGCUGCUUAAAAAACAGUUAAGCCAGAUCUGCUUUCUAUCGCCCAUGUGGAAAUGUCAGGUCUUAAUUAAGUGGGCUACACUAAACAUUUCCGCUCUGCAAUGUUUAGAAGAGUUUAUCAGGCUAGCAAAGUAAAUAUGUUGUUGUGUAGCAUUUUACAGCGCGAAAUUCAAAUUACACAACUAUAAACGUAGAGAUUAAAGUAUCAAGGUGUUUGGACAGGGGUUCAACUCCCCUCGGCUCCAUUU
RNAcentral lists this transfer-messenger RNA (364 nucleotides) under Lactobacillales bacterium. It matches the Rfam family "transfer-messenger RNA". Rfam says of the family: Bacterial tmRNA, also known as 10Sa RNA or SsrA, is named for its dual tRNA and mRNA-like properties. Its role is to liberate the mRNA from a stalled ribosome. The record is from RNAcentral. Lineage: Bacteria; Bacillati; Bacillota; Bacilli; Lactobacillales.